This 301-nucleotide ribosomal RNA is filed under the name uncultured bacterium. Its description in RNAcentral is "partial 16S ribosomal RNA". It matches the Rfam family "Bacterial small subunit ribosomal RNA", at positions 509 to 807 of the family's 1533-position model. The record is from RNAcentral.
CAGCCGCCGCGGGAAUACGAAGGGGGCCAGCGUUGUUCGGAAUUACUGGGCGUAAAGCGCACGCAGGCGGCUCGAUAAAUUAGAAGUGAAAGCCUUGGGCUUAACCUGAGAAUUGCCUUUAAGACUGCCGAGCUAGUAGGUGAGAGAGGUGAGUGGAAUUCCGAGUGUAGAGGUGAAAUUCGUAGAUAUUCGGAAGAACACCAGUGGCGAAGGCGGCUCACUGGCUCAUUCUAGACGCUGAGGUGCGAAAGCGUGGGGAGCAGACAGGAUUAGAGACCCCAGUAGUCCCUGUCUCUUAUAC